RNAcentral lists this ribosomal RNA (455 nucleotides) under Pseudebulea fentoni. RNAcentral describes it as "partial large subunit ribosomal RNA". The record is from RNAcentral. Lineage: Eukaryota; Metazoa; Arthropoda; Insecta; Lepidoptera; Crambidae.
CUGAUUAUUUAUUAAAGGGCUGCAGUAUAUUGACUGUACAAAGGUAGCAUAAUCAAUAGUCUUUUAAUUGAAGACUUGUAUGAAGGAUUGGAUGAAAUAUAAACUGUCUCUUAUUUAAAUUAAAAAAUUAAUUUUUUAAUUAAAAAGUUAAAAUAUAUUUAAAAGACGAGAAGACCCUAUAGAGUUUUAUAAAUUUAUUAAUAAAAAUUUUUUAUAAAUAUAAUAAUUAAAAUUAAUAAAUUUAUUUUGUUGGGGUGAUAAAAAAAUAAAUGAAACUUUUAUUAUGAUUAACCAUAAAUAAUUGAGUAAAUGAUCCAAAAAUUUUGAUUAAAAGAAUAAAUUACCUUAGGGAUAACAGCGUAAUUUUUUUUUUUAGUUCACAUAAAAAAAAAAGUUUGCGACCUCGAUGUUGGAUUAAAAUAAAAUUUAUAUGCAAAAGUUUAAAAGUUUUGAUC